Molecule: ribosomal RNA, 951 nt
Filed under: uncultured bacterium
Lineage: Bacteria
Also listed under: 1 other name
Description: bacterial SSU rRNA
Rfam family: Bacterial small subunit ribosomal RNA
Source: RNAcentral
UGGAUCCAGACUUUGAUUAUGGGCUCAGGAUGAACGCUGGCGCCGUGCCUAAUACAUGCAAGUCGAACGAAACUUCUUUAUCACCGAGUGCUUGCACUCACCGAUAAAGAGUUGAGUGGCGAACGGGUGAGUAACACGUGGGCAACCUGCCCAAAAAAGGGGGAUAACAUUUGGAAACAGGUGCUAAUACCGCAUAACCAUAGUUACCGCAUGGUAACUAUGUAAAAGGUGGCUAUGCUACCGCUUUUGGAUGGGCCCGCGGCGCAUUAGCUAGUUGGUGGGGUAAAGGCUUACCAAGGCAAUGAUGCGUAGCCGAACUGAGAGGUUGAUCGGCCACAUUGGGACUGAGACACGGCCCAAACUCCUACGGGAGGCAGCAGUAGGGAAUCUUCCACAAUGGGCGAAAGCCUGAUGGAGCAACGCCGCGUGGGUGAAGAAGGUCUUCGGAUCGUAAAACCCUGUUGUUAGAGAAGAAAGUGCGUGAGAGUAACUGUUCACGUUUCGACGGUAUCUAACCAGAAAGCCACGGCUAACUACGUGCCAGCAGCCGCGGUAAUACGUAGGUGGCAAGCGUUAUCCGGAUUUAUUGGGCGUAAAGGGAACGCAGGCGGUCUUUUAAGUCUGAUGUGAAAGCCUUCGGCCUAACCGGAGUAGUGCAUUGGAAACUGGGAGACUUGAGUGCAGAAGAGGAGAGUGGAACUCCAUGUGUAGCGGUGAAAUGCGUAGAUAUAUGGAAGAACACCAGUGGCGAAAGCGGCUCUCUGGUCUGUAACUGACGCUGAGGUUCGAAAGCGUGGGUAGCAAACAGGAUUAGAUACCCUGGUAGCCCACGCCGUAAACGAUGAAUGCUAAGUGUUGGAGGGUUUCCGCCCUUCAGUGCUGCAGCUAACGCAAUAAGCAUUCCGCCUGGGGAGUACGACCGCAAGGUUGCAACUCAAAUGAAUUGACGGA